Long non-coding RNA from Dermacentor silvarum, 394 nucleotides. RefSeq lists it as uncharacterized. The record is from RefSeq and is a predicted model, not a curated record. The transcript is spliced from 3 exons. NCBI's taxonomy places the organism in Eukaryota, Metazoa, Arthropoda, Arachnida, Ixodida, Ixodidae.
CGUGCCGCGCGCGCUUUGUUGGAAGCAUUUUUCUUUUGUUUUUGGACAUUAUGACGCAAGUUUUAGUGAAAUCGCUCUAUGAUGAUAAGUGAGAUGUUUAUCCGUUGAAGACGUUUGCUGACGCAGCUACUGGUCUUCGGGUGAUGUUCGAGCCUGGCAGUUUUGAUGAGUUGCGCGGCAGAAUUCAUGAUGGAAGGAAGGCGAACAAAGCCGCAGCCUGACUUCUGCACACAGGCAAACCGCAUGCCCUGGAGCGAAAGCGCGCGAAGCUAGCGCUUGCUGCCGCCGCUGCUUCGAUUGAAAUGUUACACAUGCACCAAAUGCCCAGGUGCUAACGUGUCGUUCGUCAAGAACAGCUUGGCGUCGUUUCUCGCAAGAGACAUCCAUUGAUCUG